RNAcentral lists this non-coding RNA (248 nucleotides) under Gossypium arboreum. Its description in RNAcentral is "Bacterial large subunit ribosomal RNA". It matches the Rfam family "Bacterial large subunit ribosomal RNA", at positions 1786 to 1957 of the family's 2925-position model. Lineage: Eukaryota; Viridiplantae; Streptophyta; Magnoliopsida; Malvales; Malvaceae. The record is from Rfam by way of RNAcentral.
AUAAAUUUGGGCGACUGUUUACCAAAAACACAAGUCUCCGCAAAGUCGUAAGACCAUGUAUGGGGGCUGACGCCUACCCAGUGCCGGAAGGUCAAGGAAGUUGGUGACCUGAUGACAGGGGAGCCGGCGAUCGAAGCCAGAAAUAUUGUCAAAUAUCCCAUGUCUAACUUUGUAUCCUAUAAAGCCUUGUCUUUGACAUUCUCAACCUUUGUUUCGUGUCUCGAUACUGUACAAAUACCCAAAAAUGU